Molecule: ribosomal RNA, 484 nt
Filed under: uncultured bacterium
Lineage: Bacteria
Description: partial 16S ribosomal RNA
Rfam family: Bacterial small subunit ribosomal RNA
Source: RNAcentral
AUUGAACGCUGGCGGCAGGCCUAACACAUGCAAGUCGAGCGGAUGAAGGGAGCUUGCUCCUGGAUUCAGCGGCGGACGGGUGAGUAAUGCCUAGGAAUCUGCCUGGUAGUGGGGGAUAACGUCCGGAAACGGGCGCUAAUACCGCAUACGUCCUGAGGGAGAAAGUGGGGGAUCUUCGGACCUCACGCUAUCAGAUGAGCCUAGGUCGGAUUAGCUAGUUGGUGGGGUAAAGGCCUACCAAGGCGACGAUCCGUAAAUGGUCUGAGAGGAUGAUCAGUCACCAUGGAACUGGAACAGGGACAUGGGGACUAAGGGAGGGAGCAGACGGGAAUAGUUGGCAACGGGGGGAAAUCUUGUACAGUCAGCGCGAGGGUGGUGAAGAAGUGCUCGGAGUGGGAAGCAGUUUUAGGUGGGGGGAAGGGCAGUAAGCUGAUACCUUGCGUGUUUGACGGUAACAAGAAAAUAAGCACCGGCUAACUUCGUG